CCCAGACUCCUACGGGAGGCAGCAGUGGGGAAUAUUGCACAAUGGGGGAAACCCUGAUGCAGCGACGCCGCGUGAGUGAAGAAGUAUUUCGGUAUGUAAAGCUCUAUCAGCAGGGAAGAAAGUGACGGUACCUGACUAAGAAGCCCCGGCUAACUACGUGCCAGCAGCCGCGGUAAUACGUAGGGGGCAAGCGUUAUCCGGAUUUACUGGGUGUAAAGGGAGCGUAGACGGCAUGGCAAGUCAGAUGUGAAAGCCUGGGGCUCAACCCCGGGACUGCAUUUGAAACUGUCAGGCUGGAGUGCAGGAGAGGUAAGUGGAAUUCCUAGUGUAGCGGUGAAAUGCGUAGAUAUUAGGAGGAACACCAGUGGCGAAGGCGGCUUACUGGACUGUAACUGACGUUGAGGCUCGAAAGCGUGGGGAGCAAACAGGAUUAGAUACCCGGGUA
Molecule: ribosomal RNA, 445 nt
Filed under: uncultured bacterium
Lineage: Bacteria
Description: bacterial SSU rRNA
Rfam family: Bacterial small subunit ribosomal RNA
Source: RNAcentral